UAAGACAAUUUAGAACCUCAAUAUCUAUCAAUUAUAUUAAUGAUCUUACUUAAGAUUUUACACACCUUUCAAAAACUAAGUUGGCAAAAAAUACAAAAAAUUUGAAGAAGAUUAAACUUACCAAAUAGAAGAUCAACCCUAAAUUCUACUUGGGCUAGCCUCCUAUUCCAAUCUGAAUGUUGAACUUCCAAUUUCAAUAUCUCCUUUUUAAAUCAUUGAAUUGCCUCUAAAAUCUACUUAAUCUGUAGAAAAUCAAAUCUAAUCUCUACACAUAAAAAGGGCUCACUUCAAUCCAAUUAAUAAAUUGCUAGAGAUCUUAAAAAUAGUCACUGACCUUCAAAUUCUAAUUUCUAAGACCUCAACCCACAAAACCCUUCACACACUUCAAACAAACAAUUUGAUU
Molecule: long non-coding RNA, 403 nt
Filed under: Physcomitrium patens
Lineage: Eukaryota; Viridiplantae; Streptophyta; Bryopsida; Funariales; Funariaceae
Description: long non-coding RNA (PPAT_LNC011439)
Source: RNAcentral